RNAcentral lists this long non-coding RNA (516 nucleotides) under Cyanistes caeruleus (blue tit). Its description in RNAcentral is "lncRNA (ENSCCEG00000010317.1)". Lineage: Eukaryota; Metazoa; Chordata; Aves; Passeriformes; Paridae. The record is from RNAcentral.
GCUCUGAGGAGUCACUUGGAAUAGAGACCUACAAACCUUGGGAGGAUCUCACUGCGUAGAAGUCUGUCUGUGUGUGUGGGUUUUCUCUCCCCUGUGAAGGUGCAACCGACACAGGAACAUCCAGCAGUGCAACAGGGUUUUAGAGAACUUAAGGACUUUGCAGACAAAUGAGGAAGAGGUAACUUCAAGGUCACAGGAGAUGGUUGCUCCGUGCUGUGGUGUGAUAGGUGAUAACACCUGUGAAUUGCAGGAGUGCAGGUGAAGGCUCUUGGUGUUUCAUGGGUUCUCCACAGCUCUCAUAACUCAAAAUGAGAAAUGAUGCCUGUAAGAGAGUCUGGCUUCUGGAGCUUCUCAUCACCUGCUUUCUGCAAUCCCAGCCCAUUUGCUGUGUCUUUUAAGGGGCACCUGAAAUCACUGGUCACAUUUGAGGGUAUUGCUAAAAAGCUCUGAGAGCAGCUCCUGAUUCUACUCUGAAGAGAAGUGCUAUGUGAGACAAAAGGAAAAGUUGGUACUUUU